RNAcentral lists this ribosomal RNA (392 nucleotides) under uncultured bacterium. Its description in RNAcentral is "partial 16S ribosomal RNA". It matches the Rfam family "Bacterial small subunit ribosomal RNA", at positions 523 to 918 of the family's 1533-position model. The record is from RNAcentral.
AUACGGAGGAUCCGAGCGUUAUCCGGAUUUAUUGGGUUUAAAGGGUGCGCAGGCGGCCAUUUAAGUCAGCGGUUAAAUCGUGGGGCUCAACCCCAUUCUGCCGUUGAUACUGGGUGGCUUGAUUGCGGUCGAGGUUGGCGGAAUUCGUUGUGUAGCGGUGAAAUGCAUAGAUAUGACGAAGAACACCGAUUGCGUAGGCAGCUGACCAGACCGCAAAUGACGCUCAUGCACGAAAGUGCGGGGAUCGAACAGGAUUAGAUACCCUGGUAGUCUGCACAGUAAACGAUGAAUACUUGUUUUCGGCGAUAUAAUGUCGGAGGCAAAGCGAAAGCGAUAAGUAUUCCACCUGGGGAGUACGCCGGCAACGGUGAAACUCAAAGGAAUUGACGGGG